UACUACUAGUAGAAUGCUUUUAUGAUACCAUUUUGGGGAUAUAUUGCUUCCUUGUGAUGCUCUUUUGGGUUAUUUUUAGAUCCUAUGAAGGGUGCUGGAGUUUGACGGGGAAAGAACUGAUGGAGAAGGGGGAAAGGGUUUGAUCUUUGGGGCUUUAUUUCACCUUGAUGGGUGAGUACCCUUUUUGUUUUUUUUAAUGGGGAAUUGUUGAUAUGGGUAGAUUUUGGAAUUGGUGCAAAAGAUUUGGGGCGUUUUAGGAGCUAGAGAGUAUCGGAUUAUGUUGUUGUAUUUGCUCGAUUGGAUCCUGAUAGAAGAUUUUUUUCUUGAUGUUGUUGGCGCUACCUAUUAAUGUCUUUGGUUUUCUGUCCUUUUUUUUUUGCUCUUUCUUGUUAGUAUUGAUGAAAUUAGACGGCAAGGUACCCAAUUUAGGAUCUUGCAAAUGGUUUGCUGUGGUCAUCUUUCGUUGUAUUUUGCUCGCGCCCAUUCUUUUCUGGCGUGAUGAAUAGUCUUUAUUAUGAUUACGAUGGUUAUAAUGUUUGAUUCAGGGUCUGCGCGAGGUUAAUUUUUCAGCAACUACUCGAAAGUCGUGCGCCGAGAUGGGUGCGAGCUUUCUAAUUUUAGCAGUAAAUGUUUUGUGGAAAUGACAGGAGUGCAUGGAUUAGCCGAAGGUAUCUGAGUGUUAGGAGAUGUGAUCUAUGAUGCCAAAAAAAAAAAGAAAAAAAAAGAAAAA
Elaeis guineensis (African oil palm) is the source of this 730-nucleotide non-coding RNA. The record is from RefSeq and is a predicted model, not a curated record. Lineage: Eukaryota; Viridiplantae; Streptophyta; Magnoliopsida; Arecales; Arecaceae.